Molecule: ribosomal RNA, 478 nt
Filed under: uncultured organism
Description: partial 16S ribosomal RNA
Rfam family: Bacterial small subunit ribosomal RNA
Source: RNAcentral
GUACACUCCUACGGGAGGCAGCAGUGGGGAAUUUUGGACAAUGGGCGAAAGCCUGAUCCAGCAAUGCCGCGUGAGUGAAGAAGGCCUUCGGGUUGUAAAGCUCUUUUGUCAGGGAAGAAACGGUGAAAGCUAAUAUCUUUUGCUAAUGACGGUACCUGAAGAAUAAGCACCGGCUAACUACGUGCCAGCAGCCGCGGUAAUACGUAGGGUGCAAGCGUUAAUCGGAAUUACUGGGCGUAAAGCGUGCGCAGGCGGUUUUGUAAGUCUGAUGUGAAAUCCCCGGGCUCAACCUGGGAAUUGCAUUGGAGACUGCAAGGCUAGAAUCUGGCAGAGGGGGGUAGAAUUCCACGUGUAGCAGUGAAAUGCGUAGAUAUGUGGAGGAACACCGAUGGCGAAGGCAGCCCCCUGGGUCAAGAUUGACGCUCAUGCACGAAAGCGUGGGGAGCAAACAGGAUUAGAAACCCUUGUAGUCCCAUGA